CAUGGACGGAGGAGCCUGGUGGGCUACAGUCCAUGGGGUCGCAAAGAGUUGGACAUGACUGAGCGACUUAAUUAAUUGUAGUCAGCAAUUUAUUUACUAUUUCUUAUUUUGUUACUUGUAUUAGCCUCCUCACAGAGAACUCAAGAUGCUACAAGUUGUCACAAGGUUUUGUUCUCAUUUCACUCUAGCUCAUAAAUUUUAGCAUUGAGAAAAACAAAUAGCUAAGCUAAAAUGAUGGAAAAUAAAGGUAUGGCUCACAGCCCUCCCCACUGAAAACAGAUAAUACUUUUGGAUGAGAAUAGGCUGCAGCGCUCUUCCAACUAAAUCACGAAGGAAAGGGGUUUUAUAGAUAAUAGUGAUGGAAAAGAUCAAUUUCAAUGUGCCUGGUGGGUAUAAAAAGCUAUUGAAAUACACUAUCUGCUUGCUUCCUGCUCAGAUACAAAAGAACAUUUCAUCUCCUGCAAAACCAGACACUCUCUCUUGUUAUCAGCUACAAACAUUCUCUUGAGGAUUCCUAUUCAGAGGCAGACUGUUGGUAAAACCAACAGCUUUAAUAUUCAAGACCGAACAAUGAUAUGGGAGCAUCAUGUGAGAGGCAGGAGGGGACCCAGGGCCUUGUCCUCCUUCAGUGGACCAAGUGUGGAGCCGAUCAGCUUCUAGUCACAAAGGCUCAGUCAGGACUUCUUCAUCCCCUCGUAGGUUAGGUGGUUUCAGAGCAAAGAAAAACUGCUCCACACUACACACUGCGUAGCAUACUUAUGUGUGGUUGGUUACAAGAACCAAAUGACUUUUUAAAACCCUUCUGUGUUAUAUGAAAAAAAAAAAACAAACAAACCCAUCUCCCAGCACAUCUCUGCUUCACAGCUCAGCCUCUGAGAUCUGAGUAGCACAUGCUCACAAUCUUCCUUAGGGAAACUGCUGAAUUCACCAGGCAGGUACUACUCCAAUGCUGAUAAGUUCUGAUGGAGUUCCUUAGGGAACCUCCACUUACCCACCACUCUUCUUUUGGCUCCACCUGCUUCACUCCAUCCCUGCGCACCUGUUCCUCACCUAGGUUGGUGCUGCUGCUGUUUAUCUCAUUUUGACUGAUUCAGGCAUUCAGCUUCUUUUAGAGCCUGUGUCUCCCAGCUCACUAUACUUUUGUUACUGCAGCCUAAGAUCAAAGGAGCCCUUUCUGUCAGCCACUUUGUACCCUGGAGGCUUGCGGGACAUGCUCUUGGUUAAAAGACCCGAGGCUUUUUCAUUGGGAGCCGUGUGGUCUCGUUAUACUGGGCCAGUCAUAGUGUUUGAUGACCCAUAUUGCAGACACUUUGACACAGUUUUUUAAAUGUUCUUGUUUCAUUUAGUCUAUCUUUCUGGCCUGUUGAAAUCUUUCUGAUCUCCAAUUCCGCCAUUCAGCGCAUUUUCUAUAUGUCCUGCUUCACAUUAUCCAAAAAAUAGGAUAAAUGUGCCUUCUGUCUCAUCAUUAAAAUCACUGCCUAAGGCAAAGUUCAAUGAAUGGAGAGAGGGAAGAGUCUGCAGAAGUUAAGUAAACCAAAGUAUUCUGUGUCAUUUUCUCUAGCUGUGAGCUUCCCAGGUGGCACAUGGUAAAGAAUCCACUGGCUAAUGCAGGAGAUCCUGGAUCGGGUAGAUCUUCUGGAGAAGGAAAUGGCAAUCCACUCCAGUAUUCUUGCCUGGAAAAUUCAGAGGAGCCUGGUGGGCUGCAGUCCAUGGGAUCGCAGAGUCAGACAAGACUGAGCACUCAUGCAGGCAUCUCCAGCUGCAUCUUCACCAUGGGAGGCUGUGUGUUAGCUUUUAACCAUUUACCAUGUUAUUAUUCAGGAAUGGUCCUUGCAAGAGGUAAUAAAACAGACUCCUCCCAGAUGUCCUUCUCAUGCGUGUCAGCAGCAGCAGAAGUCAAGGAGUCACUCUCUACCCUGGACUGUGGGACCAUCUGAACCAGAAGUCAGCUAGAAGAACGUGUGAAGAAGCUGCAAAGGUUGGAAAAAGAAAGAUUCCAGAAGACUGAAGAAGAUAAAACAUGGAAUCAUAAAAUUUUAAAGUACAAAUGAAUCUCAGAGAAGAUCAUGUCCACACACUUGAUCUCUUUAAGGAAACAGGCAGAGAGGUGAUGAGCUUUGCCUACAGUGAACCUGAAUCUGCAGGACCUCCUUGGGCUUAUGGAUUAGACUCCACCCUCGCCUCCUUCUCCAGUCCCCAGCCCUUCUGGUCUCUUAAUACCAAGUCUAUUAGAUGGAAGUUUCCCCGACCAGGGAUUGAACCCACACCCCCUGCAUUGGAAGUGCUGAGUCUUAACCACUGAACUGCCAGGAAAGUCCCCUACUGAGCAAAAAUCUUGGUCCAUGAAGGUCAGCAGUGAUGGGAGACAUCUUGGUGAAGCUUCUCCUUCCUCCUUUCAUCCCAAGAUCUCCUUUCCUGAAUUUCCCAUUAAUCUCCACUACCACUAUGGAGCUGGUCUUUGGGGGCCCACAGUGCCCUGCAGUGUCCCACACGUGUGGAGAAAAGCGUCCCUUACCUGCCAUGAGC
Bos taurus (domestic cattle) is the source of this 2526-nucleotide long non-coding RNA. NCBI's taxonomy places the organism in Eukaryota, Metazoa, Chordata, Mammalia, Artiodactyla, Bovidae. The record is from Ensembl.